GACGAACGCUGGCGGCGUGCUUAACACAUGCAAGUCGAACGGAAAGGCCCUGCUUUUGUGGGGUGCUCGAGUGGCGAACGGGUGAGUAACACGUGAGUAACCUGCCCUUGACUUUGGGAUAACUUCAGGAAACUGGGGCUAAUACCGGAUAGGAGCUCCUGCUGCAUGGGGGGGGUUGGAAAGUUUCGGCGGUUGGGGAUGGACUCGCGGCUUAUCAGCUUGUUGGUGGGGUAGUGGCUUACCAAGGCUUUGCCGGGUAGCCGGCCUGAGAGGGUGACCGGCCACAUUGGGACUGAGAUACGGCCCAGACUCCUACGGGAGGCAGCAGUGGGGAAUAUUGCACAAUGGGCGGAAGCCUGAUGCAGAAACGCCGCGUGCGGGAUGACGGCCUUCGGGUUGUAAACCGCUUUCGCCUGUGACGAAGCGUGAGUGACGGUAAUGGGUAAAGAAGCACCGGCUAACUACGUG
This 468-nucleotide ribosomal RNA is filed under the name uncultured bacterium. RNAcentral describes it as "partial 16S ribosomal RNA". It matches the Rfam family "Bacterial small subunit ribosomal RNA", at positions 28 to 507 of the family's 1533-position model. The record is from RNAcentral.